This 522-nucleotide long non-coding RNA is filed under the name Bos taurus (domestic cattle). RNAcentral describes it as "long non-coding RNA NONBTAT006634". The record is from RNAcentral. Lineage: Eukaryota; Metazoa; Chordata; Mammalia; Artiodactyla; Bovidae.
AAAGUUGUUUCUGACAGCUGCACCACACCAAGAUUCCUGGUACCACAAGCAAUUGCUCACUUAACACCAAUAUUGUUUCCUGAAAAUCCCUACUUGAUUAAAAAAGUCAUCACCCCCACAUUCCUUCUCUGGUGACAAUCACAGUGGCAGAGGGAAAGAAAGAGCACUUAGCAUCACUUCCAGUACAUGAUAGUCACACAGAAUCUGUCUGUUUUCAUGGCAAAAGUUGAAUGUCAUGUUACUUAAACUACAAAUAAACCAAGUAGGGCUGAAAUAUAAACCAUGGCUGAAGAUCAUCUCAAAAGCAAUAAAAGUGGAAAUGUUAUGCAAGGAAUUGGCUUCCAAGUUCUAAUACACUGGAGCCAUAGGGUAAAAUGGUAUAUUUAGGAUAAGCAAAAGGAAGUACACACAAGCAACCUACAGUUUGUGGCUCCAGGUUUUUCUUUUUCUGUUUUUCUUUUUUGUAAAUUGUUUGAUUUCACUCUACAUGUUUACAUAGGAGCUUUUAAAAUGGUGGUCUGG